Peromyscus maniculatus bairdii (prairie deer mouse) is the source of this 2825-nucleotide non-coding RNA. The record is from RefSeq and is a predicted model, not a curated record. NCBI's taxonomy places the organism in Eukaryota, Metazoa, Chordata, Mammalia, Rodentia, Cricetidae.
UCCAUGAAUAGCAGUAGAAAGAUACAGUUGGUCACUGGCAAAGCCAUGGAGCAGAAACCGAGGCAUGCUCUGACAUAGUUGGAGUGUGGUUGAGUCCGGGGAAAACAGAUGCCCGGUAAGGGUGGAGGAGCAGGAAAGCAACCUUUAAUUCUGAGAGCACCAAGACGUUACUGGGGGCUUUUAAAGAUGAGAGUAAGUCCUGGCUGCAAAUGGCCGCCUGAGAGAAAAUGACGAGCCUCAUUUUAGCAAGAUCACUUUUGACUGCUGUACGGAAAAUGUGUUAGAAAGAGAUAAAUAUGGAAGCAAUGAGACCAGUCAGUGAUAUGAAGCCAUAGCGGCUUGUACUAUUUAUGCCACCCGGGGAGGGGGCUGCUAUCGGCUGAUUCGAGGAUUCAGUGGGCAUGUCUGGAGGACUUUCAGGUUAGGUCCUGGAACCAGGGAUUAGAGACAGGAGGUAGAGUCAGAGGCAGGGAAGGGAGGAUGUGUGCCAGAGAAGAGAAAAAAAAAGUUUAGAAUCCCAACAGUGAUGCUGUGUAAAGAGUCGGGCCGUCAUUCUCGGGCUUCCUCACACAUGAUCUGUUACAUAUAGUUCUACACACAACUUUAUGCAUUUUGGUUUCAUUAGCAUUAAAUCUCCACCUAGGGGUGUGCAUUAUUGUAUUAUAAUGAACCGUAGGUCACCUUCAGACACCAGGAUGGUCCCUGUGCCUAUGCCAAUGGCUGUCUUUAGUUGGUGGUAGAGGGAGUGUGGGCCUUUCUUCUUUGAAACUAGUUUCUCUCCUGUGAUAGUUUUUGCAGCCUUCAUACAAGGCUCUCUAGACCUUGCUCUACCCUCUAUUCUCUCACCUCGGUGUGCUGUAUUGCCCACCCCACCUUAGACCUAAGACCUUCCAACACGUUCCAACCACUAGGGUAAUGUGGAAAUGACCCGGGUCUUCCAAAAUUAGACUAUACAGAGCCACGCAAACUCUACUUUUUGUGCUCAGUCCUCGCUUGAUCGACCUGAGAAAUACAUUCCUUGAGGAUGCCCACCUUGGAAGGAGCCUGGGCUGUGUCAUGUGACCACGUGCAGAUGUUCCAGUCAAUAGACCCCGCUAAGGUCCAUGGGCAGUCAGCUUCAAACUACUAGGUGUAUGAGUGAAGUUGCCUUCCGGGCGAUUCCAGCUCCCCCUGCACAGUCACCCCUCAUCUCCGAGUCUUCUGCAGGAGUUACCCCCGGUUAGCAGCUCUGUCGAACACAUGACAAGAAGCCACUUGAAAGUGGAAAGCUUUGUGUUGGCUUACAGGCCGUCAUGGCAGGGAAAAAACAGCGUUGGGACCUGAGACUGCCAGUCACACUGUGAGCAUGCGCGGUAGGAAGCAUAAACCAGGAGUAGAGCCAGACUUUCAAACCUUGAGGCCUACCCUUAGUGACCCACUUCUUCAGUGAGGCUCGGCCACGUAAGGCUUCCCCGGCCUUCUAGAACACCACCAGCUGGAGGUUAGGGGUCACAUGCACCAAUGGAGCUGGUUUCCCUUCCAAACCGCAGCUUCUCCCUGGCUGAGGUCUGAAAUGUGAGUCCAGAUAAGUCAGUCCCGUGAUGCCCCGUCUGGAUUUCAGGACCAUUAAUAGUUGACAUAGGUUGUCACGCAGCAGAGGUAACGGACGCAGCGGGAGAAGAACAUCUCUCAGGGAAGACACAAGGAGUUGCCAUGGAAUUGGAGGACACACUUCCGGAAGGAGUCACUUAGGCGUCUGAGUUGGCAGACAUGGAUGCCGGAGGGAGCCGCCAUAAACAGCGCGUGGACUCCCCUAACUUCACAGGACUGAGAGAGACCAUCGAGGGCGAGAGGUGGACUGAGAGGCGGGCUCAAGGCGCAUCUGGGAAGAUUCCUGCUCCGAACCCAGGCAGAUGAAGAACACCACAGAAAAUCAGGAAGACUCUGAGGGGGCAGUCCUCGCAGGAGGGGGUAGGCUAUCAAACUACUGGGACGGAGUGUGUCUCCACAUGCAGUCUAAGGUUCUUCUCUCCAGUUCUGGAAAUGUCAAUCCCUUUUGGUAUCAGCUCUCCCUGAACAGUCUGUGCAGGCGUCCUCCCGAUGGUUUAUAAAACACCAGCUAGGAGCAGCUAAAUUCGGGAUUUGCACAGGGCAAGAGGAAGGGCCACGUGAGGACACACGGGAAGACAGCUAUCUGCAUGCAGUGUGUUGAUGCUGCAGUGACAGCCUCUGGAACUGGGAGGGCACAAACGUCAGCCGUCAGCCUCCCAGUGGUCUGUAUCCCGCUUCACAGCCAGAGUCCAGUGACACAGUGUCUCAGCUACCACCAAAAGGGGACAAAGACACUAGAGAAGAUUGAACCAAGGUCUUGCUCAUGCUACACAAGCACUGCAGCCCUGAGGUACAAGAACUUCAAAAAGAACUCCACAGCCAUUUGCUGUCCUCUUUCCUUCAGAGUGUUCAGGUGAGGAGCCCGGUGGCGUCGCGGGGAUGUUCCAGUCACUUGAAUAGUGACGUGGUAAGCAAUGGGUCCUCAGACUUCACAAUUACGCUCCCCUAGUUCCAACCAUGACAUCCACUGGAGGCGAAGUGAUUCCCCCAAAGACUCACAUAUUGACAGCUUGGUGGCCAGAUGGUGGGUCUAACCAUGGAGAGGUUAUUGGGUCAUGAAGGUUCAUGACCUCAUCGGUGGGUUAACCCAAGGAUGACUUCAUGAUUUGGUGGCCAUCGUGCAGUUAUGGCAGCUUUACUUGGCUAUAAAUAUCCAUCCAUCCUGGUGUGCCGUCUCACACAGCCCAGGGGCAACAGAGCCAGCUAGCCGUGGGCUAAAACCCGACACCAUGUAC